RNAcentral lists this ribosomal RNA (584 nucleotides) under uncultured bacterium. Its description in RNAcentral is "bacterial SSU rRNA". It matches the Rfam family "Bacterial small subunit ribosomal RNA", at positions 266 to 847 of the family's 1533-position model. The record is from RNAcentral.
CACCGAGGCGACGAUGCGUAGGGGUUCUGAGAGGAAGGUCCCCCACACUGGUACUGAGACACGGACCAGACUCCUACGGGAGGCAGCAGUGAGGAAUAUUGGUCAAUGGCCGGGAGGCUGAACCAGCCAAGUCGCGUGAGGGAAGACGGCCCUACGGGUUGUAAACCUCUUUUGUCAGGGAGCAAGAGGCGGGUCGAGACCUGCUGUGAGAGUACCUGAAGAAAAAGCAUCGGCUAACUCCGUGCCAGCAGCCGCGGUAAUACGGAGGAUGCGAGCGUUAUCCGGAUUUAUUGGGUUUAAAGGGUGCGCAGGCGGAGGCACAAGUCAGCGGUAAAAUCGCGGGGCUCAACCCCGCUCCGCCGUUGAAACUGUGUCCCUUGAGUGCGCGAAGGGUAGGCGGAAUGCGUGGUGUAGCGGUGAAAUGCAUAGAUAUCACGCAGAACUCCGAUCGCGAAGGCAGCCUACCGGCGCGCAACUGACGCUCAUGCACGAAAGCGUGGGUAUCGAACAGGAUUAGAUACCCUGGUAGUCCACGCAGUAAACGAUGAAUGCUAUCUGUCCGGCCGGAAUGACGGCUGGGUGGC